Pteropus vampyrus (large flying fox) is the source of this 122-nucleotide ribosomal RNA. The record is from Ensembl. Lineage: Eukaryota; Metazoa; Chordata; Mammalia; Chiroptera; Pteropodidae.
CCUAAAAGACAUGUAAAAAUUUAUUCACAAGCCCAAUCCCGUCUGAUCUCAGAAGCUAAGCAGGGUCGGGCUUGGUUAGUACUUGGAUGGGAGACCACCUAGGAAGACCAGGUGCUGUAGGC